This 683-nucleotide ribosomal RNA is filed under the name uncultured fungus. RNAcentral's name for it is "eukaryotic LSU rRNA". It matches the Rfam family "Eukaryotic large subunit ribosomal RNA", at positions 24 to 664 of the family's 3401-position model. Lineage: Eukaryota; Fungi. The record is from RNAcentral.
CCCGCUGAACUUAAGCAUAUCAAUAAGCGGAGGAAAAGAAACUAACAAGGAUUCCCCUAGUAACUGCGAGUGAACCGGGAAAAGCUCAAAUUUUGAAUCUGGCAGUCCUUGAGGCUGUCCGAGUUGUAAUCUAGAGAAGCGUUUUCCGCGUUGGACCGUGUAUAAGUUUCCUGGAAAGGAACGUCAUAGAGGGUGAAAAUCCCGUCUUUGACACGGACUCCCAGGGCUAUGUGAUGCGCUCUCGACGAGUCGAGUUGUUUGGGAAUGCAGCUCAAAUAGGGUGGUAAAUUCCAUCUAAAGCUAAAUACAGGCGAGAGACCGAUAGCAAACAAGUACCGUGAGGGAAAGAUGAAAAGAACUUUGGAAAGAGAGUUAAACAGUACGUGAAAUUGCUGAAAGGGAAACGUUUGAUGUCAGUCGCGUCGGCCGGGGAUCAGUCUGGCUUUAACUAGCUAGGCGUACUUCCUGGUCGACGGGUCAGCAUCAGUUUUGACCGUCGGAAAAGGGCUUGAGGAAUGUGGCACUCUCUUUACCGGGGGUGUGUUAUAGACUCUUGUCUUGAAUACGAUGGUCGGGACUGAGGAACCGCAGCACGGCCUUUAUGGUUUUCGGGGCUUAGGCUCACGUUUAGCGUGCUUAGGAUGCUGGCAUAAUGGCCUUAAGCGACCCGUCUUGAAACACGG